CAGCCUGGGCUACAAGAGACUCUAU
Molecule: non-coding RNA, 25 nt
Filed under: Cricetulus griseus (Chinese hamster)
Lineage: Eukaryota; Metazoa; Chordata; Mammalia; Rodentia; Cricetidae
Source: RNAcentral